ACUGCCUCUCCAUUUUCAGAGUCUAAUGCUCAUGACUAUAUUCAUUUAUCAUUCAAGAAAUAUUUGCUAAAUGUGUACUAUGUUCAAGGCACUAAAAUGGGCACAAACAGUACUAAGAGGCAGUUCUGGAUUUCUGGCGCUCACCUCUGAAGAUCAUCACAGGCGAAGAGUUUUGAAUAAGACAAUUCAGUCAGUCAGUUACUUUGGAAAUAUUUCUAGAAUACUGUCAUGUACCAGACAGCAUGCUUGGUUCUGAGAAUAUGAAAUGAUCUAAAACAAAGAACAUGUCUCUGUCCUCACAGAACUUAUAUUCUGAAAACUAUGCAAAUUAACAUGCCUUACACUCAAGAUGGUAAAGGCUAUGAAGAAAAAUCAAAUUGAGCAAGGAGUCUGAGCACAAGGGUGAGGGACUGAGGGGAGAACUUGGUAUUUUGAAUGAGCCAAUCAGUAAAGCUUCUCUGAGAACUGGAGGAGAAACCUGAAUAAGAAGUGACUUAUGUGAUCAUCUGUGUGAAGCAUACGUGUGGCUAGGCAGAAGCAACAGCCAGCGCAAAGACUCCAAGGCAGGAACAUACAUAGAGUCUGCCAAGAAUGGCAAUAGGCCAGAUCACAGUGAGAGAGACUGAGAGCAAUCAGAGAUGGGUGGAAAGUCAAGGGAUGACCAUCCAGCAUCUUGAAUAGGAGGUGACAGCCUCUGAUUAACUUUUUAAUCUCACUCUGGCUGCCAUGUAGAGAAUCGAUUAUGGGGAUACCUGAGCAGAAACAGGAAGAUGAGUUAGAAGACUAUUAUACAUGUGUACAUUUGAGAUGAUGCAGAGUUAAACUAAAGUGGAAACAGCAGAGGUUAUCAGAUUGGGGAUGUAUUUUUCAUGGUAGUGGUGACAGACUAGAUGUUGUCUGUGAGGAAAAAAAGAAGAGUGAUUGCAUUAAAUUCCUGGAAUGGUGCCUGGAACAGAGUUUAUACUCAAUAUGUGGAAAUUCUGUCCCCUUCCUUCAGAACCAACACAAUUUACCAGGAGGAAACAAGUCAUGUGCAUAACUCAUUACACACUAGUCUGUUAGAGGAACACCACCUGAGUCUAACCUCGGGGCCACAACUCAACCAUGGGCAAGUAGAUGAUAUUCAGCCUCAAUUGCUUUGAUCAAACCAGAGGACCUUGGACUUCAAAUAACCUGGAUUUGUCCCAGAUUGCAAGUGUUUUCAGACAUCCUCAGAAGGAGAGGUUUGGAGCAUUUCUUGGGCUCAACUCCUAGAAAUAGACCAUAAACUCCAAGAGGGAAAGGACUUAAAAUACAGGAACUCAAAUACUAUCUACUAAAUGAAUGAAUGAAUGAAUGAAUGAAUGGAGUUCCCUUUCAUCAUCACAGCCAAAGCCCUUAUUCAAUAGAACAAAAUAGGUUCCAACACAAGGCAGACAUGGAUCUUGGCUUCAAAGGAUUUAUGGAUUAAAGAAGAUAAACCAUGGGCUUAAGUAACUGUAAUUCCAAAAAGAAAUAUAUAGGUGGCAUAAGACAUGGACAGCUAAACUGUGAUGGGAAUUCAAGCGAUGCCUGAUCUUGGCUGUACAACUGUUAUCUCAUCUAAAUCCUACAGCUGUGUCACUUCCUAACGACCACCAUCCCUGCAAGACAGCUGUUGCUCUUAAUUGGCAGGAAUAAAACAUAUGAGCAUUAAAAAACUAGCCUGGAUGAUGAGCUACACAAAAAAAUCCAUUUACAUUUUUUUCCAAACUAUUUGAAGCAAGAAAAGGCAGGGCAGAAGGCUUCAUCAGAAAGACAUGGAGUUCCUUGGUCUCACACCCAGAAUUUUGCAACUGAAAUUGCAUAGAACCAAGCUGCCUCUUGGCCAGUCCAAAGGAGAGUCCCAC
Molecule: long non-coding RNA, 1868 nt
Filed under: Equus caballus (horse)
Lineage: Eukaryota; Metazoa; Chordata; Mammalia; Perissodactyla; Equidae
Description: lncRNA (ENSECAG00000051075.1)
Source: RNAcentral